AUGCAGUAUUUAAUGCUGCAAUGGUUACAGGAUGAGCAUAUGCUGCUCAGACAGACCAAGUAUCCAACCUGGGCCCAUCCUGAAUUUCUUAUGAUCUCAAAAUCCAAAUUCAUUAGCACUGCUCAAAAUCCUCUUUCACUUUCCUGCCUUGCUGUUUGUGAUGUGAACCACGAGAUGUUCAGAAGUUGCAUUUGUUGUUUGAUGGUUUUACAUGGGUGUAAUGGUGUAACAGUGCAUCUGCUGAGUCAACAGUUCUUUCUGUAUAUGUGUGUGUGUGUUUGUUUGUUUGUUUAUUUAAUACUCCAUUUCCAACAAGUCCUUGUUCCCCAGUUCCUGUUGACAACCAGGGAACAAGCACAAGUCAACGGAGAAAAUGUACAACUCGAAGGCUGGGGUCACAAGAUGGAUUUGGAGGAAGCAACUUUCUUGCAGAUAUGUGACUAGAAUAUGAAUACUGUCCCAAGGUUUAUUCCUAAAUCUGUUGGAAACGAUGGAAAUGAUCCUAUUGACUCCAACAAAGUCUGCUUUCUGCUGGAUUAAGGAAUAUGUUUGUACAUCAGAUUUGCUGUCCCACUAACGAAAUGGGGAAUUUUAUAAACAUAUCAGGGAGGGUAAGUGCCCAAUAGAAAAGAUGUCAGAUAGAGAUCCUGAAAUUACAGUCUACUUGUAACAGAAAUAAAACAAGGAAAGCUUACUAACGAGUCA
This 705-nucleotide long non-coding RNA is filed under the name Calidris pugnax (ruff). RNAcentral's name for it is "lncRNA (ENSCPUG00000018800.1)". The record is from RNAcentral. Lineage: Eukaryota; Metazoa; Chordata; Aves; Charadriiformes; Scolopacidae.